This 395-nucleotide ribosomal RNA is filed under the name uncultured bacterium. Its description in RNAcentral is "bacterial SSU rRNA". It matches the Rfam family "Bacterial small subunit ribosomal RNA", at positions 64 to 507 of the family's 1533-position model. The record is from RNAcentral.
GAGCGCCCCGCAAGGGGAGCGGCAGACGGGAGAGUAACACGUGGGAACGUACCCUUCGGUUCGGAACAACCCAGGGAAACUUGGGCUAAUACCGGAUACGUCCGUAAGGAGAAAGAUUCAUCGCCGAAGGAUCGGCCCGCGUCUGAUUAGCUUGUUGGUGAGGUAACGGCUCACCAAGGCGACGAUCAGUAGCUGGUCUGAGAGGAUGAUCAGCCUCACUGGGACUGAGACACGGCCCAGACUCCUACGGGAGGCAGCAGUGGGGAAUAUUGGACAAUGGGCGCAAGCCUGAUCCAGCCAUGCCGCGUGGGUGAUGAAGGCCCUAGGGUUGUAAAGCCCUUUCGGCGGGGAAGAUAAUGACGGUACCCGCAGAAGAAGCCCCGGCUAACUUCGUG